RNAcentral lists this unclassified non-coding RNA (922 nucleotides) under Hevea brasiliensis (rubber tree). Lineage: Eukaryota; Viridiplantae; Streptophyta; Magnoliopsida; Malpighiales; Euphorbiaceae. The record is from RNAcentral.
GGUUCAAAUAAGGGCUAUUAAUAUUGCCAAUGGGAAGAAUUUACCUGAAGUUCCUACUUUGAUGUUUGAAUUCGUAGGCACGGAGGCAUAUGCACGUGAGCAAACACUAAUAGUUCAGGAGAUCAUUUCUAGGCACAAUGGCUCAGAUUUUGUUUUUGCAGAACAGCCUGAAGCUAAAAAGGAACUUUGGAAGAUAAGAAAAGAGGCUCUGUGGGCUUGCUUUGCAAUGGAACCAAAUUAUGAGGCAAUGAUUUCGGAUGUCUGUGUUCCUUUAUCACGCCUGGCAGAAUUGAUAUCUAAGUCUAAAAAAGAGCUGGAUGCAUCCCCACUGGUUUGCACAGUUAUUGCUCAUGCCGGUGAUGGGAACUUUCACACUGUGAUUCUUUUUGAUCCUAACCAAGAAAAGCAGAGGCAAGAAGCUGAAAGAUUGAACCAGUUUAUGGUCCAUGCUGCUCUGUCAAUGGAAGGAACAUGUACCGGUGAACAUGGUGUCGGCACAGGAAAAAUGAAGUAUCUCGAGAAGGAACUUGGAGUGGAGGCCUUGCAGACGAUGAAAAGAAUUAAAACAGCUUUAGAUCCAAACAAUAUCAUGAACCCAGGAAAGCUCAUUCCACCCCAUGUUUGCUUCUAAGAGCGUGUUUGGUGUACUUGGAGGGGAGGAUUCCUCAUUGGCAUGCGCUUUCUAUGCAAGUACUGUUGUAGGGGUACAAAGGUAUGUUCCCUUGCCAUUUAUACCAUUUAGAAUAGUUGGCCAGACUUGCAGAAUUUAUAUACAUGAGGUUGAAAUAGGCCAUAUACCGGUCAAUGUGUCGUCAAAUUGUACAAUUUUCUUUGUGUUGAGAGUUGAGACACCCAAACAAUAAAUUGGUUCUUGCUUGUGUAUGUUUUCUUUCACAUCGAAUAUGGAUGUGAUUUGUCCACC